UAGGCUCUGCAGACCCAGAUGAGAUGAUUGAACGAGAAGUUCGGGGAGUAUGGAGUACUAUUCUGGGUGGUUUAAAAAAAUUUGCAAAAGGUGGUCUUGAUGCUAUAGUGAAUCCAAAACGAGAAGCAAUAAGGCCCGUCCCUUUUUUCCCGCCUGUUCAUGCCAAGAAAGUGUUUCCAUUACAUUGAAAACGCAGUGCUGAUAAAUAAAGAUUUUCCAGGUGGGUUGGUUGAAUGCACUUUGGACAUCUCAGGCCAUCUCUCCCUAAACCUGUAAAGAUAAACAACAAAUGCUGAAAAAUAAAAUGAUAUGUAGAUAACAUUUGUCAAACUUUAUUGCUCCUUACAAUGUAGAGUGCACCUAUUUUGCAAUAUAUGUAUCUAGGUCUAGGACUUUUUCAUAAAGGUACAGUUAAGAGAUCUAUUAUCUGGGGCCAUUUCCCACAGAGUCCUUUUUAAGCAAACAAUAGUUAUUUUUUUGACUGAGUUCUUUUCUCUGUAAUAAUAAAAUAAUAGGAAUAAACUAAUCCUCUCUCAAUCUCUGACAUGCAUUGAAGGAGAGCAGCUUCAUGAGCAAUGUCACAUUCGGGGCAGGACAAAGUUACUAAUGUUACUAAUAUAAAUAUAUGCUAAUAUGGUAAGAUUGUUUAAUAGGUCACUUCAGAAGGUAAUGUUUUCCUUUAAGCAAUAGUAUUGCAAAGUAUGGAAAACCCAUAAUCCAGAAAGUACCCACACAAGUCUCAUUUUAUACCAUCCCUUAGUCUUAUAUAAGAUAAGAUUUAUGGGGGUAAUGUAAUAAAAGGUGCAAAGUUUGCUACAGGUCUAAUCAUCUAUAGCAACUAUCUGCAGGAAUAAUUUUAUAGGUCCGCUGUUUGAAAUAAACAGCUUAUUUUUUGGUUGCUAUGGCGUAAUGCCCCUGAGCAAAUUUAGUGCUUUUAUUACGUUGGGGGUAUAGCCUGGUUUAACUGCACUGUUAAUAAAUAUGUUAUAUUUUUUGACACUUUUUGGUUAAGUAUUAGAAUCCCCAAGGAUUAGUGAUGGGCGAAAUCAUUUGCCAGGCAUGGAUUCGCGGUGAAUUUCCACAUUUUUUUCGGGAAACAGAUGACAAAAUUCGCCACACAUUAAAAAAUUGAUUUAUCCCACACCACCAAAGCUGCACAGGAGGGGACACUUACAAAACCAACACCUGCAAGUAUUCCUACUUCUAUCCCAGCAAAUUUAUCCAACAGUGACAGUGAGGAAGUGAGACCUGGCCACAUUAGCAGCCCAUAUUUGUCUGAUAUUGAGGGCACAGAUAAGGAUUAUCAGCUAGAGGAAGCCAGUGAAGUGGAAAAUGAGGAACUUCCCCCCCCCCCCCUCACCCAAACCAAGCAAGAAAAAAAAGCAGGACAGCAGGCUCAGAAAUCUGAAAUUUUCUGAAUUUGAAAACUUUUGCCUGUGUUUGACCAAAUAAUUGGCAAAUAUGCAUCCAAAACAGCUACAGCUGUUAAAAACAGAGCAUGGAACGACAUAGAUGACCAUGUGAACAGUGUCAGGGUCUGUCUGAGAAGGGUCCAACAUUGUAAAAAAAGAUAUCAGGAUAUCAAAAGGGUCCUGAAGAGAAAAGUUGCGGAAGACUCCAGAUAUAGUCUGGAACUGGAGGAGGUCCAGCAAAAAAGGUGCACUAUACCACCUACGAGGAGCAGCUUCUGCCAUUCAUCCAUGGAGACAGCGUCACUUAGAAA
RNA transcript from Xenopus tropicalis (tropical clawed frog), 1723 nucleotides. It is a transcript of the gene named xenopsin peptides-like, with no coding region annotated. Lineage: Eukaryota; Metazoa; Chordata; Amphibia; Anura; Pipidae. The transcript has 5 exons. The record is from RefSeq and is a predicted model, not a curated record.